CCUAAUGAUUCCAUUAUAAUUGCGAUUAGCUGUGUUCUACUCUUGCCUUUUGCCCUACACGCGGUGUGCAUUAGCUAAUAUAAUUAAAAUAUCUGUGGCCCGCGGGAUGGAAAGCCUAAUGUGACGUGACGUAUAAGGGUUGGAUGUCGUCAGUACUUACUAGAAGAUGGCUGUUGUGAGUAACCUUCAUGACAGGGCUACGAGUCUUUAGAUCCGGCCUAUUGUGACGCAAAGGCCAAGUUGCCAUUGAAUGGGCAGAAGGGCUCGGAAGGUCGACUGUAUUUCUAUUGAAAGACACCUUUGACACUGACAAUAAAUUGGGGACUUGCCUUUAACAAAUACAAGGAGAAGACCUGGUCGCCCUGUACAUACUUGGCGAGUGAGAUGAGGGCUGCCAACGUGACCUGGAGUGAUGUCAAGGAGCAGGCGCAAGACAGAGACAACUUGUGAGGGCCCUAUGUACCAGCGGGGUACCCUAGGACUACAACAACAACAUCAACCUAAUUAUUAUUUAAUGAUGUUAGCCCAAUAUUAUCGUCGGUCUGUUUCUUAGCUCACAGUAUUAAAAUGUUUUGUUUCAUA
Bombyx mori (domestic silkworm) is the source of this 582-nucleotide long non-coding RNA. RefSeq lists it as uncharacterized. The record is from RefSeq and is a predicted model, not a curated record. Lineage: Eukaryota; Metazoa; Arthropoda; Insecta; Lepidoptera; Bombycidae. The transcript has 3 exons.